GUGAACGCUGGCGGUAGGCCUAACACAUGCAAGUCGAACGGCAGCACAGAGGAGCUUGCUCCUUGGGUGGCGAGUGGCGGACGGGUGAGGAAUACAUCGGAAUCUACCUUGUCGUGGGGGAUAACGUAGGGAAACUUACGCUAAUACCGCAUACGACCUACGGGUGAAAGCGGAGGACCGCAAGGCUUCGCGCGAUUGGAUGAGCCGAUGUCGGAUUAGCUUGUUGGCGGGGUAAUGGCCCACCAAGGCGACGAUCCGUAGCUGGUCUGAGAGGAUGAUCAGCCACACUGGAACUGAGACACGGUCCAGACUCCUACGGGAGGCAGCAGUGGGGAAUAUUGGACAAUGGGCGCAAGCCUGAUCCAGCCAUACCGCGUGGGUGAAGAAGGCCUUCGGGUUGUAAAGCCCUUUUGUUGGGUAAAGAAUACCUGUCGGUUAAUACCCGGUAGGGAUGACGGUA
RNAcentral lists this ribosomal RNA (460 nucleotides) under uncultured bacterium. Its description in RNAcentral is "bacterial SSU rRNA". It matches the Rfam family "Bacterial small subunit ribosomal RNA", at positions 29 to 477 of the family's 1533-position model. The record is from RNAcentral.